CUAUCGUGGCUCGCUCCCGUUCGGGAAAACCUGAUAGACAUGCUACUGUGACCGCUCACAUCGGUGCGUGUUCUUUCAGGGACAAGACACGAUCACGUGCGCCGAUGUACGCAAACGGACUGCCUCGCGUACGCAUACACAUGUGCGCUUCUACCUGCUCGUCUUCAGCACUUUUUUCGCUUGAACUGAUAUGCACACCCCGACAUGUGACUUUUGGCCUCCCUCAGUGCCCUUCUCCGUAACACUGCCAAUACGCGCAACGCCACAGUUUCUCUGUCGGCUCUUGGCUGUCGAUGUAGUUGCCCCACUGACGGUCAUUGCGAUGCUUCGGCUCCACACACGCCCCACCCGAACUCACCCACGUGGCAUCCUCUAUUCAGAACCCUGACUUCGGCUAGCACGAAAAACGCUACAAUCGUAGAUGGUUGUAUUCGUGCGAUGGCGGUCGCCACGGAACCGGGCGGCUCUGGCAUACCCGAAGCACUUCCCUCUAACUGUUGAGUGCAUGCAUGCUUAGCCCUUUCUGGCGAGCAAUGAUCACCCGAGACGAAGGGAUGCUAGCGAAAAACGCAAGACGGCUUAGUGCCAAUGCACCCUUGAACCAAUAUAUGUCCGCACACACACGCGUUCCCGAGGGCGCGAGCAGGAUCCUGGAUGGUUUCCGUCGCCAAGUGUCCAGUGUGCGGAAAGAAUCGUUUUGUGUCUUGCUAGGAGAGGUCAACGCAUGUCUUUCAGGAGGCGCUGCGCAGUAGAGGGCGCGCGGUGUUUAACUGAAUUGCGUUGGACUACGAGAAGGAUCCGCGCGAGGUGCGCUUCUUCACCCUUGCCGAG
RNAcentral lists this unclassified non-coding RNA (831 nucleotides) under Leishmania donovani. RNAcentral's name for it is "gene:unknown". The record is from RNAcentral. Lineage: Eukaryota; Euglenozoa; Kinetoplastea; Trypanosomatida; Trypanosomatidae.